This 920-nucleotide long non-coding RNA is filed under the name Anser cygnoides (Swan goose). Its description in RNAcentral is "lncRNA (ENSACDG00005002387.1)". Lineage: Eukaryota; Metazoa; Chordata; Aves; Anseriformes; Anatidae. The record is from RNAcentral.
AGGGGGCGACUGCAAGGGGGGUGCAUGGGUCAAGGGGUGCGGUGCAAAGCGGGGUGCAGUGCAAAGGGUGGGGCAGGGAAACGAGGGGGUGCUAGAGCAAGGUGGAGUGCAGUGCAGGGCGGGGUUCGGCUGAAAAGGGUGCACGGAGGAGAAGCGUGCGGCGGGCAGGGGUGCAAGCCUCAGAGCUUCCAGCGUGAUGGUGCUUGGGGAAAGCUGCAGGAAACGCCGACGUUCGUCCUCUGGCAGACCUGGGCGGGAAGAGGGAGCACGCCGUGUUGCUGGUGGAAAUGAUCAACGACAAACGUGACCCAUCAAUUAACGUGGAUCACGAGUCUGAGCAGGAACCAGCUAGGCCAAGUCCAACUCUCAGGCAGUUUUAUUCCUUGCUCCCUGUCUGUUUCUUGAGACUGAAAAUCCAGCCACCCUAUUUCAUGAGGAUACUCUCCGAGGUGGUUAUAUGGCACGACAUUGGGCGCUGGGAAGAGAAUGCCUUGUUUACGUUCCCCAACGUGCCUCCAGUUCCCUUUGUGACCACAGCGAGUUCCUUAAACUCUGCAGAUCUGCAAUCCAGAAUGAGUAAGUACCCACAGCUCUCCUUGACUUCAGCCACUGUUAUGUCUAUCACCAGCUCUGAAAAAAAUCAAGCCUUCUAUGCCCCAAUUUCCUCUCUGUCAGCAAGCAAAACUUACAUGUCAAGGGCAUCUGAAGCCUGACGGAUUUUUGCGUGGAGCUUCAGAUCCCCAUGAGGACGGCAGCUGAGAAAAGAAGAUAAAACCCUGUUGUAAGGGUGGUAGUGAUGGAUACCGAUUAUUAUUUGUUUAAUUAAAAGAGCCUGGACAGACGCAGAGGCAACAAUUAAUUAUCUCAUGUAAAAACUUUGACCACGGCUAAAUAAAUUAAUGGGUUAUGAGAUGAAGACA